Molecule: non-coding RNA, 115 nt
Organism: Triticum aestivum (bread wheat)
Lineage: Eukaryota; Viridiplantae; Streptophyta; Magnoliopsida; Poales; Poaceae
Source: Rfam
UGUAUACUCCCUCCAUCUCGAUUUACUUGUCGCGGAAAUGGAUGAAUCUAGACGUAUUUUAUUUAUAGAUGCAUCCAUUUCUGCGACAAGUAAUUCCGGGCGGAGGGAGUACGAU